This 118-nucleotide ribosomal RNA is filed under the name Salmo salar (Atlantic salmon). The record is from RNAcentral. Lineage: Eukaryota; Metazoa; Chordata; Actinopteri; Salmoniformes; Salmonidae.
GCUACGGCCAUACCAGCCUGGGUACGCCCGAUCUCGUCUGAUCUCGGAAGCUAAGCAGGGUUGGGCCUGGUUAGUACUUGGAUGGGAGACCGCCUGGGAAUACCAGGUGCUGUAAGCA